GCCGAUAUAGUAUAGUGGUAAUACAGAUCCAUGGUAAGGAUCAACCCGUGGUUCAAUUCCGCGUAUCGGCACCA
RNAcentral lists this transfer RNA (74 nucleotides) under Candidatus Colivicinus equi. RNAcentral's name for it is "tRNA-Thr". It matches the Rfam family "tRNA". Rfam says of the family: Transfer RNA (tRNA) molecules are approximately 80 nucleotides in length. Their secondary structure includes four short double-helical elements and three loops (D, anti-codon, and T loops). Further hydrogen bonds mediate the characteristic L-shaped molecular structure. tRNAs have two regions of fundamental functional importance: the anti-codon, which is responsible for specific mRNA codon recognition, and the 3' end, to which the tRNAs corresponding amino acid is attached (by aminoacyl-tRNA synthetases). tRNAs cope with the degeneracy of the genetic code in two manners: having more than one tRNA (with a specific anti-codon) for a particular amino acid; and 'wobble' base-pairing, i.e. permitting non-standard base-pairing at the 3rd anti-codon position. Lineage: Bacteria; Bacillati; Bacillota; Erysipelotrichia; Erysipelotrichales; Erysipelotrichaceae. The record is from RNAcentral.